RNAcentral lists this long non-coding RNA (292 nucleotides) under Brassica napus (rape). RNAcentral's name for it is "long non-coding RNA (BNAP_LNC010020)". The record is from RNAcentral. Lineage: Eukaryota; Viridiplantae; Streptophyta; Magnoliopsida; Brassicales; Brassicaceae.
UUAAACAUUAUGGUUGAAUAUUAAAUUAAGUAGUUGUAUUAGUUGUACCUAAAUACAUGAAUUUUUACACUCUUCCUCGACCUCUUUCUCACUAUCCUUCUGAGCCUUUUCCUCACCCAUUUUCUCACCAUCCUUCUCAGCCUUUUCCUCGCCCUCCUUCUCACCUUCCUCAACCUUGUUGUCAGCCACCACAUCAGUCUUCUUCUUAGUGCCUGAAGACGAAUUGUUUCAUCUCUCAGUGCAAAUCCGUCAUCCAUUCUUUUUAUCAACUUCAACUCCAAUUCUUUUAGAC